Molecule: ribosomal RNA, 497 nt
Filed under: uncultured bacterium
Lineage: Bacteria
Description: bacterial SSU rRNA
Rfam family: Bacterial small subunit ribosomal RNA
Source: RNAcentral
AUGAACGCUAGCGACAGGCUAACACAUGCAAGUCGAGGGGUAACAGGGUAGCAAUACCGCUGACGACCGGCGCACGGGUGAGUAACGCGUAUGCAACCUGCCUAUAACUGGGGAAUAGCUCCCUGAAAGGGGAAUUAACACCGCAUAACACUAUUGAUUCGCAUGGAUUGGUAGUUAAAUGUAGCGAUACAGGUUAUAGAUGGGCAUGCGUGACAUUAGCUAGUUGGUGAGGUAACGGCUCACCAAGGCUACGAUGUCUAGGGGUUCUGAGAGGAAGGUCCCCCCACACUGGUACUGAGACACGGACCAGACUCCUACGGGAGGCAGCAGUGAGGAAUAUUGGUCAAUGGGCGCAAGCCUGAACCAGCCAUGUCGCGUGCAGGAAGAACUGCCCUAUGGGUUGUAAACUGCUUUUAUAGUAGAAGAAACACAUCUACGAGUAGAUGUCUGCCAGUAUACUAUGAAUAAGCAUCGGCUAACUCCGUGCCAGCCGCCGC